RNAcentral lists this long non-coding RNA (4145 nucleotides) under Equus caballus (horse). RNAcentral's name for it is "lncRNA (ENSECAG00000045717.1)". Lineage: Eukaryota; Metazoa; Chordata; Mammalia; Perissodactyla; Equidae. The record is from RNAcentral.
CUGGCACGUUCUGGAUCCGCCCCUCACGGUGGUCUUGGGGGGGCUCCUGCCUCCUCACCAUGUCACCGGCGCUCGGCGUUAGCCAAACCCUCUGACUUCUACAACUCUGAGAGGUGUAUAGGGAAUUGCCACGUUUUAAUUUGCGUUUCUCUGAUCACCGGUGGAUCUGAGCAGCCAUACCCUAGCGUGAGGAAAACCGGUGACUUUUAACUAGAAGCCGACUUUCGACAGCAGGAGCGUGCCAUGUGCACGCGAAGAGCAGGUCCAGCUGAACAUGGUCUUCCCAGGUGAUGACAAGCAAAAGGGUGCAGUCACUCGGGAAGCCGGCCGGCCACUGUCCACUGUCACAGCAGCCAGGCAAGUGUGGUACUCAGAGCCCCGCAUGCAAACCUCGGGAUACGACGCAGGAUUUUUAAAGGCUGGAUCUGAAAGCCACUAGAUCAUGGGAUUCUAAAAACGUCUGUUCUAAAUUGUCAGCACAAUGCUCAAGGCCAACUGCUCCGUGCCAGGAAAGGGAUCCCCGGAGCACAUGGGCAGGUGCCAGAAGGGCUGAUGAAAUGCUGCAGUUUCGGGCAGUGCUUCCAGGAAACCAGUCCCAUGAGAUUGCUCCCUGUAGCGAGAUGGGCGAUGCCUGCACAAGGCCUGGGGACACUGUCCACAUCCACUGAGGAUGUGACUGGGUCCCUGGAGUGGGAAACAGCAGACCUGCCCAUCGCUGAGACCGUGUCAAACUAAGGCCCAGAGCUCUGGCCUCGUCCUUUUAGGGACAGAGAGUUGUGACUUGGUCUGGGAAGAGAAGCAGGUGGCAAGGUGGGGAGUGACAUCCCUCCCUAGAGAGGGGAAGCCCCACCCCUCCAGCCUCUGGUCCAACAGGCAGCAGUACCAGUCCUCUGAGCCGGCUGCCUCUUCUCACAUCUCUCUCCAGAGUGCGCUUGCCAGCGAAUAAAGGUUUAGAGUAAUCAGGCCCCAAAUAUGGCUUGUGAUUGAUUUACACUAAAAAAUUAUUGUCUGAAAUUCACAUUUGACUGUGCAUCCUGUGUUUUAAAAAAUUUUAUCGAUGUCAUCCUUUUUAAAAAGCAGUUGUAGGUUCACAGCAAACAGGAGCAGAACGUACAGAGAAUUCUCACAUCCCACAUACCCUCUAUCGUCCCCUCCCCAACCAGCCUCUCCCACAGCCCACACCCCUCGCCAGAGGGCUGUGUUUGUUAUAAGCCAUGAACCUACAGUGACACGUCAUCACCCGGAGUCCACAGCUGACCUCGGGGUUCACUCUUGGCGGUAUGGGCGGAUGUAUAAUGACCUGUAUCCAUCUGGAGGAGGGUCGGCCCUAAAUCCAAUGACGAGUGUCCUUAUGAGAGGAGAAGGCCCUGUGAAGAUGGAGGCAGGCUUUGGAAGGAUGUGUCUACAAGCCAAGGGAUGCCACGGCUAGCUGGCUGUCACCAGACCCUGGGAGAGAACGCUGGAACGAUUCUCCCUCAGCCUCCAGAAGGACCCCACCCUGCUGACACCUGGAUUUCAGACUCCUGGUCUCCAGAACUGAGAGAGGAUCAAUUUCUGUCGUCUGAAGCCACUCAGUUUGUGGGCAUGCGUUACGGUCACCCUAGGACACCGAAACAGGACGUGAUGAGGAAAGGGAGAUAAACACGUCAGUCAAGGUACAGCCUCCGUACAAGAGAGCCACACACGCGGCAAACCCGAAACCGUUUCUAGAGGUAGACCAGGGAAGACAACAUGUGUGCUGUUUAUCACAACAGGAAAACUAAACAACAAGGACAAGAAGGGAGAAGUGGCCACACGGCACAGAUAAAAAUGUGAGAAAUGCUAUAUUUCACAAUUUUAUCUGUUCUGCCACUCUGACUCAGUGAUCAAUGAGGAUCUGUCUUUUUUCCACCCAAAAAGAACAUGUUGCAUAAGCUCAGGCUUCCAGGGACCAGCGGAAAGCAGAAAACACCAUCUGAAGCUCUCCCCAGUCAGCUCAACGAGUGGCCCCCGUUCCCCAGACGGCGUCCGCGAAGCCGUAGAGAUGAGCUGAUGUCUGCUCACCCCGGGAGGGAGGCGGGGGCGCAGGUACUGACGGUGCCAGUUCAGGGGUUCAAGAGAAAAUGCCGGCAGGCGGCUUCAGCAAAGACUUAGAAUUUGUCGGCAUCAGUGCUCUUUCCCGGAGAAAAGCCUUCUUGGAAAUUCUGCGUUUUCUUAAGGAACACGAAGAACAUUUCCAAGGGCGUGUUAGGCCUCAGCCUUUCAGAACAACCCUGUUUGCUAAGCUUUGUGCCUCGCCCAUCUCUGCCAGUCAGCACCUGAAGGUGUCCCCAGGGCAGGGGAGGGAGGGAAUUUGAGAUCAGAGGGCCACCGUGGUGUUUGGGGACACUGGAAAUGACGGGUGGCCCUCCAUGCCCUGGACACCUGGGUCUGGGCUGUUGUCUCCUUCACAUGUGGUCCCUCCUGCUUUGCUUCAUCAGUGGCAGGACAGGGUUACCUCUGCAGCGAGCCCCACUGGGCCACGUCCACGGCAACCUUAAUAGAGAGGGGCAGCGCCAGUCUGACGGACAACCCACGUGUUCGGCAUCCAGGGACGCCACGAUGAAGUGCCCACCUCACACAGCGCUCCCUUCCCCCCGUGUCCUGAAACCCCCUCCUCUGGGGAGCCCCAGACAAUGCAUUGCUUCCUCCACGGUUCUUCCCCGAACACGCAGCCUGUGACCCUGUUACAAUACUUAGCGCACAGCCAGUGGUCCCGUCAGGAGACAGAAACCACACAGCUGUUUUAGCAGAGACAAUUUAAUAAAGAAGAAUGUAGCAGGAUUGCCAUCUGGGUAUAAAGUUAUUGGCACCUUGUUUAUAAAGGUCCUGUGAGAACCCCAAGGCAUCACGGGGUAGAACUGUAGGCAGCAGCUACCUCCUAAAGAGAAGGGGUUGGAGGGAUGAUAACGUGGAAGCCGGGAAGGGAGACCCCACGGUGCUCAACGUCUGACCUCUGGGGAGGAGACACCGGCCAGCCAAUGGGGUGGGUGUCUCUGAGGGGGACAGUGUCACUGAUUCUGCAAGUAAUGGAAGUAUGCAGACUGCAUCAACUGCGGUGUGAGAAGGAACAGCCACUGCUACAGUGAAGAAGUGUCACUGGGGAUGCUCCCAGAAACAGGGAGCAGACAGGAAGGACCCGUCCCUCCACCUCCAGCCCUGCAGCCUCCUCCGGCGUCCACUCCCGGCGGAGCCCCCCGGGGAACAGCUGGCGUGGUUUGCAGCAUCCCAGCCCCGGCUUCACAGGGCGGGCCGUGGAACUGAGGUUUGGAACCGGGAGCCCACAGCUUUAUCACUGGCACGGUCCUCUCCUUCGCUUCUCAGCUUCCAGACACACCUUUUACUCCUAUCUGAACUCCCCUGCAGAAACAGCAAGGACUUUGUGUGUCUGUCCAACAAGCUUCCCACAGCUAAUACCCUUCAUGCAGAUGAAGGCGUUCUCACCCUCUCCCCGACGUGAGGAGCUGCGGGGCCCACGCAUCUCGUGUCCAUCUUUGGGAGGUGUCACACUGCAGCUCUGGGCUCCAUCACAUACUUCCCAAAUCCAGUCACAGGCUGCACUGGUUCCCUACGGCUGCUGUUACAAAUUGCUGCAAAUUUAGUGGCUUCAGACGACACAGAUUUAUAUCUUGCAGCUCUGGAGCAGCUCAGAAGUCUGACCGGGGUCUGGCUGGGCUUAAAUUGCCAGGGCUGUGUUCCUUCUGGAGGCUCUUGGGGAAAAUGUAUUUCCAGCCUUUUCCAGCUUCUGGAGGCUGCCCCAUUUCUCGCCUCCUGGGCUCUUCCUCCAUCUUUAAAGGCAGAAAUACUCCAUCUUUCUCUCCACUCUUCUUUUCUGAAUCCCUAAGGUCUUCCCGGAGUCUGACACAGCAGGACGCUCAGUAAAUACAAGGCAGCGGAUUCUUAUAAGUGUGGCUCCGUGUGAGUCCUUCUUUUCCAGGAGAUUAUAAGCACCAGAGAACCAGGCUGUGUCUACAUCACCAAGAGGGCUGCCUCCAUCAAAUCCAGGCACGAUUGGACCUACGUGCCUGAAACAAGCAUAUCGAAGAUUAAUACGUGUUUUUCAAUUGGCUUAAAUUUUUUCGGUAAAGCAGUCAGCAUGUUAACCUCCCUUCUGUUAAAGAAAUGAU